AUGGUCUUGAACUUUGUGAUUAUAAAGGCGAAGUAAUGCAAAAGUUUAAUAUAGUUCAAAGUAAUGCACUUAAGUCACUCUUCAAUGUUUCCAAACACAGCAAAAAUUAUAUUCAUUUUUUGUUUUACAUCCAAAAUGUAUCAACCUUCGACCAUAUAAACUGAUAGACUCGCCUUUACGCCUAUUAUGUAGCAAAUUGUCGAUCGAGUCAAUCGUUGAUCGAGUCAACUUUGUGGUACAAUCUCAUCUUUAAAUAUUUAGCAAUAAUUUUAUGACUACUGCACAUAGUUUAUAUGGUCGAAGGUAUCAACAAUCAUUCAACAAAAUAAGAAAUGUCACAAUCAACUAAUAGAAAAAAAUCGGGUUCAGAAUUCAAGCAUGCCAGAGAACAAAAGGUUAUGAAGAAGCAGCCAAAUCACUGACUUACAAAUUUCUUUAGAAAACUGAGAGCUACUAGAAACACUUUAGACAUAACACAAUCCAGCUGAAAGUGCUGAAAAUGUAGCACAGUAUUCGAAAAUGUAGCAAAAAAAUCAGGCAGUGAUGAUGAUAAGCUCAACAUUCUGAC
Molecule: non-coding RNA, 568 nt
Organism: Hydra vulgaris (swiftwater hydra)
Lineage: Eukaryota; Metazoa; Cnidaria; Hydrozoa; Anthoathecata; Hydridae
Source: RefSeq, a predicted model, not a curated record